RNAcentral lists this ribosomal RNA (710 nucleotides) under Vibrio alginolyticus. RNAcentral describes it as "bacterial LSU rRNA". It matches the Rfam family "Bacterial large subunit ribosomal RNA", at positions 181 to 942 of the family's 2925-position model. The record is from RNAcentral. Lineage: Bacteria; Pseudomonadati; Pseudomonadota; Gammaproteobacteria; Vibrionales; Vibrionaceae.
AACCGGGGGAACUGAAACAUCUAAGUACCCCGAGGAAAAGAAAUCAACCGAGAUUCCGAAAGUAGCGGCGAGCGAAAUUGGAUUAGCCCUUAAGCUUUAUAUGCGUUAGACGAACGGUCUGGAAAGUCCGGCGAUACAGGGUGAUAGCCCCGUAGUUGACGACGUGUGUUCAGUGAAAUCGAGUAGGGCGGGACACGUGAUAUCCUGUCUGAAUAUGGGGGGACCAUCCUCCAAGGCUAAAUACUACUGACUGACCGAUAGUGAACCAGUACCGUGAGGGAAAGGCGAAAAGAACCCCUGUGAGGGGAGUGAAAUAGAACCUGAAACCGUGUACGUACAAGCAGUAGGAGCAGGCUUGUCCUGUGACUGCGUACCUUUUGUAUAAUGGGUCAGCGACUUAUAUUCAGUGGCAAGGUUAACCAUCUAGGGGAGCCGUAGGGAAACCGAGUCUUAACUGGGCGCUCAGUCUCUGGAUAUAGACCCGAAACCAGGUGAUCUAGCCAUGGGCAGGUUGAAGGUUGAGUAACAUCAACUGGAGGACCGAACCGACUAAUGUUGAAAAAUUAGCGGAUGACUUGUGGCUAGGGGUGAAAGGCCAAUCAAACCUGGAGAUAGCUGGUUCUCCCCGAAAGCUAUUUAGGUAGCGCCUCGGACGAAUACUACUGGGGGUAGAGCACUGUUAAGGCUAGGGGGUCAUCCCGACUUACCAA